Molecule: long non-coding RNA, 1328 nt
Organism: Girardinichthys multiradiatus
Lineage: Eukaryota; Metazoa; Chordata; Actinopteri; Cyprinodontiformes; Goodeidae
Exons: 5
Source: RefSeq, a predicted model, not a curated record
GUUUUCGGCUGUGAUGGGCACCCUGCAGGUGGGACACUGGCUGACUUUCUUUAACCACAUCUCCAUGCAGCUGGAACAGAACACGUGGUGGUUGGCACAGAUGACGGGCUGCCUGACCUGCAGAAGCAAACCUCGAGGGGCACGUGAAGAGCGGAGAAGCGCGGGAGGGAUUGCUUUCAUUCAGGGAAGGAGAGGCGAAAAAGCCUUCCAGCAGAGCCCACUCCAGCUCAGCUCCUCUCCCCGUGUGCCUGUCCGUCUCGUCUCUGCCGAGGCCAGCUGACCAGUCCUUCUGGGCUGACCGGCCGCCAACCAGACCGGCAGCUCUCCUGCUCCAACGCUGGUGGACUGUGAUGCAGGCAGGAGCAGCCGGCUGCCUAGUGGCCUCUGACAUUUGCUGGGGAGAAGAGGUGGUGUGCUCAGCGCUCUUGGUCUGCUGCGAUCAAGCUUCAGGGUCUUGACCUGCAUAUUAAGGGAAACAGUGAAGAAUGGGUGUCACAGAAAAGCCAGCCAAACAACAAAGUCCUCUUUUACUCUGAAGAAGACAACCACCUAAGCGAGAUGAAGCAGAUGAGACCAGGCACCUUUCCAUCAUCAGCCACUGCAAGCUUCUACAUGAAGUCCAAUGAUUUUAACUUAAAACACUAAAUGAAAGCAUUCAUUUGGAGGAAGCAGGAAAACUAAAGAAUCUGCAGACUAAUUUAGCACACAAUAUGACCUACUAUGAUCUGUAUUACAAAUCCUAAAGAAUAAUAAAUUAUGCUCUCCCUUGACCGUUUUGACUGAAGUCUAGAAGAAGGAUUUUUAUCCCAUCUAGAAAACAUGAGCAAACGGCAGUUUUGAAAAAUAUCCUCUUUCAAGACAAAUCCAAAUGUCAGAGAGACAGAUAUUUUACACACAGAGAGUGAUGCCUUCUGGGCGUCAAGCUGAAAAGCUUCGGAGUAACAUUUUUUCCCAGUUGGAGCAAACUGCAAUUACCCAUCAUCAAGUAUAAAAAGCAAAAUGAUUGCACUCCUUUAGCCUGGAGAGGAACUUGGUCACUGUUUGCAAAAUCCCACAAAGAAGGCUCAAGAAAAGUGUUACUGAGAUCAGAUAUACUGAAUUUAUGUCACUAUGAUUAGUCAGAUAAUAAAGUCAUCUGACAACCUAUUUAACUACUACUGUUUCCAUAGCUCCAAACCAUAAUGUAAAUGAGUAGUUCCAUAUUCAGAGGUGUAAUUGUUUAUUAAAUAUGGUGCAUCUUACAGAUGUGAACGUUUUAUCUUUAUGCAUUUGUAGACCGAACAUAUUUAAAUUGCAACAUAAACAAAAUUAAACAUUUGAUGCUAUUA